UACGAAGGGGGCUAGCGUUGCUCGGAAUCACUGGGCGUAAAGGGCGCGUAGGCGGCCAUUCAAGUCAGAGGUGAAAGCCCAAGGCUCAACCUUGGAAUUGCCUUUGAUACUGUUUGGCUUGAGACCGGAAGAGGUUAGUGGAACUGCGAGUGUAGAGGUGAAAUUCGUAGAUAUUCGCAAGAACACCAGUGGCGAAGGCGGCUCACUGGCCCGUUACUGACGCUGAGGCACGAAAGCGUGGGGAGCAAACAGGG
This 254-nucleotide ribosomal RNA is filed under the name uncultured bacterium. RNAcentral describes it as "partial 16S ribosomal RNA". It matches the Rfam family "Bacterial small subunit ribosomal RNA", at positions 524 to 777 of the family's 1533-position model. The record is from RNAcentral.